This 358-nucleotide long non-coding RNA is filed under the name Elaeis guineensis (African oil palm). RNAcentral's name for it is "long non-coding RNA (EGUI_LNC043405)". The record is from RNAcentral. Lineage: Eukaryota; Viridiplantae; Streptophyta; Magnoliopsida; Arecales; Arecaceae.
CAGAAAUUGUUUAGAUGUAAAUUCAAUCAAUCUUCCACACGCUACAAAAUAGGAAUUCUCAUUUAAAAUUUAAAUUACCAUGGCUUAUCAAACAAGUUAUCGAAACUAGACUCCAAAAAAGUAAUCCUAGCAAUUUGAAAUCAAAAUCUCAUAAAUACAAUAUGAUCAAGAUAUCCUUAAUUCCAUGUAAAUCAGCCUUCCUAAGCAGAGGAUAUAAUUGAAUCUGGAAAGCUUGUUAAAUAGAAGACAAAUUUUAUCUCCAAGCAAGUUGACCAGAGGAAGAAUGUCUUUCGACAAGGAUGAAAAGAUUGCUUUCACAGAUCAGUUGCCUUUGGUGAUUGAUAGAUAGGUAGGGGGG